GGAAGGAAAAGGCGUAAAAAGGUCUCCGUUGGUGAACCAGCGGAGGGAUCAUUACAGAGUUGCAAAACUCCCAAACCAUUGUGAACGUUACCUAUCCCGUUGCUUCGGCGGGCGGCCCGGGCCCCGCGCCCGGCGCCCCCCGGCCCCCCGUGGGCGCCCGCCGGAGGUAAACCAAACCCUUGAAUUGCAUGGCCUCUCUGAGUCUUCUGUACUGAAUAAGUCAAAACUUUCAACAACGGAUCUCUUGGUUCUG
Molecule: unclassified non-coding RNA, 253 nt
Filed under: plant metagenome
Description: partial contains small subunit ribosomal RNA, internal transcribed spacer 1, and 5.8S ribosomal RNA
Rfam family: Eukaryotic small subunit ribosomal RNA (bases 1-54)
Source: RNAcentral